ACCAAAUUGGGCGAUUAAAUUUAUAGGGUCCUUUUAGUAAAUCUAAUUAUUCCCAGUCAAAUCUAAACUACUAAAUUAUCCUUUCAAAGAUAUAGGAAAAUUUAAUAGAUUGUAUCUGCCUCACUCACCUUGUGAAAUACAUAGGAAAAUCCAAUAAUUAUCAAACCAAAUUGAGCGAUUCAAUUUAAAGGGUCAUUCCAAUAAAUCCUAUUAUUCGCAGUCAAAUUUAAGCUACUAAAGUGUCUUCUGAAAGAUAUAUGAAAAUCCAAUAAAUUGUGUCUGCAUCAUCCACUUGAUAAAAUGCAUAGGAAAAUUCAAUAACUUUUAUUACUUUCGUGUGGCAUACCUUUCAUUUCUGCUUUGUGAUCUGUGACGUUGGAUUAUGAAUUUUUGUUCAGAUCGUUGUCAUCUGAAAAUUAUAGCUUAAUUUUCCCAAUAAAUUGAUUAUUUAGUUAAUAACGGCCCAUCGAUACUAAGUUAAAUAAAAUAUGAAGGAAAUAUACAGGUGAGUUCCUAUUCCGUAUAUUUUCGAAUGAUUUGUGCGAGUUUUGUAAAUGGUGACCAAUGUUUUUAAUACAAGAUUGGAACGGAACCAUAUUCCCCGGAACCAUACAACAGGACAUAACCGGAAUAGCCAAGGAACUUAGUUGGAAACCUCGACAAAGCAGUGUCGACAAAAAUCCAAAUGGGGUAAAUAAAAGAGCGGAUGAGGUCAAAGUCUAGCGAUACGCAAGUUGAAAGUGUCUAGAACUCCCUCUAGGGAGAGGACAAAGUGGUAACAACUUCACACCGAAUUGGGACAGACCGAUACCAAUCGGUAUCUGGUCUCGGUCAUCGAAGAGAGUGCUACAUGGUCAAGCUAUUUUCGCCUGUGGCCUGUACGAUGAGGCACUUCAUUAUUUCGUUCUCGUCGAGUUGAAUUUGCGUUCAGAGAAGUGUAAUUGCAGUCGCAGCAUCCGGAUUCUGACCGUCGUAUCAUACACCAUAAGAGGAUGGAAAAAUCACGAUCCAAGUUCAAACAAACCAAACAUGCCGCAGAUCCUCCAAUCCGACUGACCAAUUAUAGUCUAGUGGUCGAAGCCGAUUGCCGGAACGGUUUAAGAUGAAACGGAACUGGAGAUUGAAUUCCGAAUUAUCGACGAACUGGGCUAGCUCAAGAUUUUUGUAUUCGGAUGUAGAAGUAUGAUGAAGCUUGAGUAGGAGUCCCGUCCUACGUUUCAAUGUUUCGAUCGAUUUCCUAAGAGUGCCUUGUAGUGCCAAAAGUAAAGUUGUAUUACUUCUUAAAAUACAGCAAAUUUUAAUUAAAAUUUUGACUUACCUUAUUGGUUCUAUCAUAUGCCAGCAAGCUACUGUAUAUAAA
Molecule: long non-coding RNA, 1360 nt
Organism: Uranotaenia lowii
Lineage: Eukaryota; Metazoa; Arthropoda; Insecta; Diptera; Culicidae
Exons: 3
Source: RefSeq, a predicted model, not a curated record